Long non-coding RNA from Phacochoerus africanus (Common warthog), 6077 nucleotides. RefSeq lists it as uncharacterized. The transcript has 3 exons. Lineage: Eukaryota; Metazoa; Chordata; Mammalia; Artiodactyla; Suidae. The record is from RefSeq and is a predicted model, not a curated record.
AUCUGGGAGCUCCGCCCUGACUCUGGCCUGCUUUCUCCUCCUCCAAAUUCUGCCUGGAAAACCAGCCGGGUGGCAGGGAUCUGGGAGCACAGGAGGGCCUCUUCUCCUGGGGUCUCCAGGGGGCAAAAGAGCCCUCUGGGCUAACCCACAUACUCAUGGCCUGAGGAGUCCUGGGGUGGGGCACCUGAGGUGGCCUAGGAUCUCAGCCUCCUGCCACUUCCUCCUGGAAGCCCUGGGGCCCUGGGGGAGGAACUGAGGCCCCAGGGCAGAGCAACCUCAAGCCUCUGAGGUAAAGCGAAGGAGAAGUCAUCCAGGUGAAGAGCUCAGUGGUGUCCCUCCUGGAGCUCUUGAAGCCUGGGAAGGAGGCAUCUUUGGAAGAACAGAUAGAGGUCAGUGUGUCUGGAUUGAGGGGAUCAGACCAGGGGGACAGCUAGCAGGAGGAAUGGCUUAAGUCUGGCUGAGGAUUGGGGCUUUUCCCAAAAGGGCCGCUGAUGGAUUUCCUCUUUGUUAUCAGAGGAACAGAAACAGAUUCGCCUUUAAAACUUCCCUCUCUUAGAUCAGAGGAAGUGAGAAACAAACCUAGAGCAUGAAUCAGGGACAAAGUCAGUGGUGGCUUGGACUAGGAGAGGGGACGCAGACACAGAGAGGUGAGGCAUGCAUUUUGCAUUUGGGAUCCGGGGACAGGGGAUGAGAUGGUUGCAUGUGGGGAUGAGGAAGAAAAAGGGAGCACUCAGAGCCCCAGGGUCUAGUUUGAGCAGAUGAGGAGAUGGAGCUGCUGCUGCUUGGACCUGGGCAAGGGGUGAGAAGAGAGUUCCAGAAGGCCCACUGGGACCAAGUAAGCCUUAGACACGUAUGAGGUCACAUCAGAUCUGAUGUACUUUCCAAAUGAAGUCACUGGGAGAAACUGCUUCUCAGGAUUGUGAGCAAGGGUAUGAUCUUCUUACCCUGGCUGACUAAAAAUCCUCUUGUUCCUGGUGAACUUGACUCUGUUCAUACAGGGGAUGGGCCUGGAUGAAACAUUCCAGCCAGCAGGAGCAUGAAGGAAGAACAAGUGAGACUGUCAAGUCUUAUCUGCUGAUGGCAGCCCAUCAUCUGUCAGUCUGUCUGUCCCAGGGCCACCAUAUGUCCAGCUAGAGAAGACGAGCCUGCUAGGCUGUGUGCCCUGAGAAGGGGACAGUCUCACUGCAGCCAGCCCUGUGGUGAUGAGUGUGGACAAUGAAGCCAGAAUACCUGACUCUUUGUUACCCCAGCUCCAGCUCCUGCUAGCUGUGUGGCCUUGUGUCACGGGCUUCUGACCUCCUAGGCCAAGGCUUAACCCUUUCUCAUCGGGAUUGCUUUGGAAAUUAAAAACCCUAAUAUCCUAGGAAGGUCUUGCCCAUCCCUUCCUAUAUGGGGGCAGUUUUCUUAUGGCUCCAGAGACACUCACUCAUACACACAAUGGCACACAAACACACAUACACAUGGGCACAGUGACACUAAAUAAGAACUAUGGGAUGGGAACAGAAGAGGAACAGACAGGUAAUGAGAAAAGGAAAAAAGGGGGUCGAGGCAUGAGCUAUAUGUGCCACCACUCCCACAUUUUCCAUGCCUUAUCCCACAUGUAGCUGAGGACAUCCCUAAAAGUAUGCGCUAGACUCAUGGCCGGUGUGCAGGUGGGGAGUCAGACAGGCCCUGAGAGCCAUGCUGACUUAUCCUGGAUGGAGAAGAGCUAAGAGUGAGGAGUUGCAUGUGGAACCCAGGUCUGUUUCCUCCAAGCUGCACACAGUCCCUCCCCGGGAGCUGUGGGAGGGCUGGGUAGUAUAGUGUGCAAGUCACAGGGUUACAUGGAGAAGGGAGUGAGCAGACAGCAACCCCAAGGGCUGUGUGUUCUGUUGGGUGAGAAGGGCAUUCAUGGAGGGGACCCCAGGAAGUGAGGUCACUUCCUUGGCAGUGGAGCCCAACAGAACUCAGAACCUCUGUAACCAGGCACCCACACACUAGGGACAGCCCAACAGCCAGGUCAUUUGGCUGGAGUCAUUUCAUAGAGAAAGAUGUUCUCCUGCUGUGUCCCCACUUACAGGGGCUUCUGCUUCAGGAAACCCUUGAGUGAGAAGUUUCUCAGAUUCCUUAGACAAUGGUUCAAUUCUCCAUUCCAAUGCCUCUGGUCACUUCCCAGGAGGUCCCCUAAGGUAAUACAAGGUGGCUGAGAGCAGCAAACCAAUCCAGGCACGACCACCUCUGGGAGCCCUCCAUGGGCAGGGCCACCACAUCCCCUCAUCUGCGUGUGGCGGUGGGGGGGGGGUACGGAUCUGAGGGGAGGUUUCCCCCUCUGGGAGAAACAGGAAGGGCAGGCCUUAGCAAACUGGCAGUCCUGUCAUGGUCACACCCAAGGACAGGGCUGGCAGGGGCCAGAGAGGAUUCCUGUGGUACCUCUUAUCUGUGGCAGUGUGAAUCCAUGGCCCUGGGGUGUCAGCUUCUUGCCAUUCUUGGUGGAGGUCAGGGCCAAGAGUGCAAGCCUGUGUCUAGAAUGGAGAUGUCUGGUGGGUCUGAGAAGCCGCCAAGACAGCAGAUGGGGCUCUGAGGCUUUCUGCCCGACUGCCGGGCAUUGUGUUCAUAGGGCUCCACACAGGAGAUCGGAAAGGAGCCGGUCCAUGGAGGGCCCUGCUCCCUCUCCCCACAGGAGGGGCAGGUGACCCACACCACCCGCAGAGGCCAGGGCAGGCUCACAGUGAGUUGAGUGCCAGGGAGGAGGUGACUCCAUGCCCAGAAAGCCCCACCCCAAGUCCCAGAGCCACCCUGCUCCUCCCCUGGGUUCCCUUCCCCAGAGUCCUGCUCCCAGAAAAAUCUGGGCCCCCAUCUCCUCUCCCACCUGCCUUCCUGGCCCAGGUGCUGCCCUGGCCACAUGCAAAGUCACAGUCCACACAUGUGUAGGAAUCUCAGAAAGAGACUUGGAUGGGAUUUGACUUCAUGUCACAAGCAGGAGGUUUCAGCCUCCCUUUUUCUAGAGGGUUUCCAGUUUUGACUCAGUGCCAAGGGGUCCACGUUUCCCUGAUCAUCCCAAUCCAUCCAGCGUGGGAUCAGCCUCUGUGACCUCGUGCCCGGAAUGGGAUCUUCGGGGAGCACUCACAGGGAUGAUGCAGUGAAGGGAGGGAGGUGCUGUCCAUGCUGGGCCACCAAUUGGCCUGAGAUCACAGUCCGUUUCACCACAGCCCACUGCCAGUUCUACAGGUGAUGCCAGAGCCUUUCUCCUGUUGAGGGCUCUCCUGUCCCACCUUGCCCACAAGUCCCUGAGGCUUGGGGAUUUGAUCUGAGCUGCAGCCCCAGCCCUCCUGCUGGUCCCUGGGGCUGCCUCUGACUGCAGGCCUCUGCUCUGUUCCUCCCCAGGGGGCAAUGGUGACAACAGUGGACAGGCAGGAGACCUGCCCGGUGUGGAGGGUCCAGGGAGGCAGGAGCUGCUGGGAAAGCUGGUGCCUGCCUUCCUGGGCAGCGGGCCUGCCUACCUCGCCACCUGCAUGGGCACCUGCAGGGCUUUGGCCACCACCCAGCAGGUGCUGGACCUUCUGUUCCAAAGGGAGGAAGCCGCUGCCUGACUGCCUCUGGCCUUGGGCUCUGACUGUAUCUGCAUUUGAAAGGUGAUGUGUGAGGAGUUCCCUGUCCUGGGUGAGUGUGAGGAGGGAUCCCUGGGGGCGAGCAGGGGGCCCCUUGCUCCCCUGAGAUACCUGUGAUGGGACAGGUUGGGCGCCUUCUUUCUUCCAGUGCAUAGGAAGGCCCACUAGGUGGAGAUGCUUUCCUAGGAAGAACCAACAUUUAAUGUAUGGAGCAGACAAGAGUCCUGCAGUCCAGGGCUUUCAUUCUCCCAGGCAGGAGGGGGAAGAGGGGGGUCACCCCGUCAUAUGUGUCAUAGCAUCCAGGUGUGUCCUUAGCACCAUCCAUGUGACACCUUCCUGGCCCCCUCUAUAUAUGGAUGUAUCCUCCCUUACUCUGAGGAGGAUGGAGGACCUCUGCACCAGCUGAAAAGGUGAGUGGGCUUUGAUUCAAGACGGAAGGACACCCUUCUCCAGUGAGCAAUGUGGAGCUGUGGGGUCUAUGGAUGGACAGGGGCUGGCAGGACCCUGGAUCCCACUCAGCCUAUGGUGCCUGCUGAGGGCAGAGCUCUGAGGGCUUCUCCUGGUAAAGAGGAAAGGAGAGCCAGAGUGCUGUGGACGGAGCAGUGGUGCUGAGAGGAGCAUCCAUCCGGGAAGUCAGAGGACAGAAUCAGCCCCUAAGGGAGUCCACACCUGUCCUCUCUCCACCCCAGCCCUGCCUCCAACCCCACCCUGCCCCCAUUCUGGGACCCAGAACACUAGGUGUGGAGAGCAUUCUGCUCACUGAUGUGGUGGAAACUCAGCAGUGGGGGUUCAGCUUGGAGCUCAGGGGAUGAAGUGAGCACUUAGGGGCCAGCUGAGCCCACCCUGCCCUGUGGGAGAUGAGGGUCAGUAGCAGGAGGAAGCAGAGUCAGGGCCCCUAGAGGAUGAGGCUGCAUGUUGGUGCAGGAGCUAAAGGCUGAGGUGUUAGGAGGCCCUCGGGGAGCUGGGGCAGGAGACAGAGUCUGUUUGUUCCUUCCUGGGUCAGAUGUUCCUAGAGCACCUACUGUGUUCCUGAGGGUGCAGCGACCAGAACAGACAUCCUGCCUGUCCUCACAGACAUGGCAUCCAUUGCAGAGGGGCGGGGAGAGGGACAGAACAGUGUGCCAGGCUUCGCUGAAGAAAGGGAGAGGCGUUCCCACCAUGGAUGGAGGGCUAUCCUUUCCCAGGGCUUGUUGCCUGCCCCUCGUCUGUGCCCAGGCCUCAGCUACCAAGCAUGCCAGGCUAGAUGGGACAUGGGGUAGAACCGGCCUCUGGAUGGGCAGAAGGGGAAGGCAGAGAGGCCCAGCUCCCCACAAGGGCUGCCUUGGGAUCCCAGUGGGGAAGGAGAGGCCAGGCCUCUGACCCUGCUGCCCACCCGACUUGACUCCUCCCAGGGCCAUGUGCUCCAUCCUGGGCACCUGGCUGCACCGUUACCCUGAGGAUUUCCACCAGCCCCCAGAGUUUCCCUGCCUGAAGAUGCUCUUGGCUUACCUGGAGCUCAACAUGCCUGGCUCAGCCCUGGAGCACCAGGCCCACCUUCUCCUGGCACAGCUGGAGCACCUGGAACCCGCUGAGGCAGAGGCUGAUGAACCAGCUCCAGAACCUGCUAUGAAAACACCUUGAGACCUAGAGCCAGCCAUCCUUCUACUGCCCACUAGAGCUCCAGAGCCACAGCAAGCUCAAGCCACAGUUCUUAUUCAAGGUCAAGGGCCUGAUCAAGGAGAUAUGCCUGCUCCAAUUCCAGAACCAGAGCAUGCUCCUGCCCUCACUCUCAUUUAAGUUCAACGUGAGGAAAAGCACCUGCACAGGCUCCAAUUCUAGAUCCAGAGAAAGUGCCAGCAUCAGUUUUCCUUCCAUCUUUGGAGCCUGAAUCAUCCGUAAAACCUGAUCUAGAGCUUCCUCUACAACCUCAGCCAGUCUCGUCAGCAGCCUCAGUUGCUGAGAUUAAGAAAACCUUUGCUCUGGAGCUCCGCCCCAGGCUCUGGAGCUCCAUUGUGCUUUGGCACCAGCUGUGCACCCGGGGUGUCAUCCAGCUCCAGUUCUGGACCUGGAGAGCACAGGGGACUCCAUUCUUCUAGUUCCUCGGGUGCUGGAGCCAGUUCCUCCCCCAAUCUCCUCAGAACUGCUCCCAGGUCAGAGAGGAGCACCAGCAUGUGCAGUGCCCUUCACAGCCUAUCAGGAGCUGCCCUGGUGCCAGCAGCAGCCCUAGAGCCUUCCUGCCUCUCCCUUGUACAUAUAGUAAAUCGUUUAUUCUAUGAUGUAAAGUUCUCUUAAAAUAAAUUUAAUUCUUUGCUCAUUUUAAAUUGUAUACGUGAGUGGCAUUAAUUACAUUCACAAUGUUACAUAACCCCUUCUAAUGUCUACUCCAGGACAUUUGUAUUCUUUUUGUCACCAAAUAAUAUUCUGUAUGUAAGUGAACUUUGCACAUGUGUCUAUAUUUUCAUCUGUUUAUGGGCAUUAGGAUUGUUUUCACCUUUGAGCUCUUGUGAAUAU